Molecule: long non-coding RNA, 317 nt
Filed under: Microcebus murinus (gray mouse lemur)
Lineage: Eukaryota; Metazoa; Chordata; Mammalia; Primates; Cheirogaleidae
Description: lncRNA (ENSMICG00000048799.1)
Source: RNAcentral
GGAAAGCACUCAGUUAGGCACACAUGAGGCGCUCAGUAGGCAUUGGACUUGGUGCAGAGGAGCUCCUGAAUGCUUUUGGACCAUUUUCUGCCCAUCUUCACCUCUUCCUACAUUGAUGCUAACUCCAGCCCUCCCCAAGGAGGCUCAGGCCAGGGAUUCCAAUUUCCAAAGCAGCCAUGAUGUCCCAGUUAGAGCCAGCAGAGGAACUGUGGAUGUUGCAAACAGAAGUGCGGUGGGGCUCCCAUGCAGAGUGGGGAACCAGCCCUGAAACUAAGAGAUCAACUUCUUGGCAGGACAUUUCUGAAGAAGACUCGUAC